ACGCUGGCGGCAGGCUUAACACAUGCAAGUCGAACGGUAACAGGGAUUAGCUUGCUAAUUUGCUGACGAGUGGCGGACGGGUGAGUAAUGCUUGGGAAUCUGGCUUAUGGAGGGGGAUAACUACGGGAAACUGUAGCUAAUACCGCGUAAAAUCUUAGGAUUAAAGGGUGGGACUUUCGAGCCACCUGCCAUAAGAUGAGCCCAAGUGGGAUUAGGUAGUUGGUUAGGUAAAGGCUGACCAAGCCGACGAUCUCUAGCUGGUCUGAGAGGAUGACCAGCCACACUGGAACUGAGACACGGUCCAGACUCCUACGGGAGGCAGCAGUGGGGAAUAUUGCACAAUGGGGGGAACCCUGAUGCAGCCAUGCCGCGUGAAUGAAGAAGGCCUUCGGGUUGUAAAGUUCUUUCGGUGACGAGGAGGGUUGAUAGGUUAAUAGCCUAUCAAAUUGACGUUAAUCACAGAAGAAGCACCGGCUAACUCCGUGCCAGCAGCCGCGGUAAUACGGGGGGUGCGAGCGUUAAUCGGAAUAACUGGGCGUAAAGGGCACGCAGGCGGUGACUUAAGUGAGAUGUGAAAGCCCCGAGCUUAACUUGGGAAUUGCAUUUCAUACUGGGUCGCUAGAGUACUUUAGGGAGGGGUAGAAUUCCACGUGUAGCGGUGAAAUGCGUAGAGAUGUGGAGGAAUACCGAAGGCGAAGGCAGCCCCUUGGGAAUGUACUGACGCUCAUGUGCGAAAGCGUGGGGAGCAAACAGGAUUAGAUACCCUGGUAGUCCACGCUGUAAACGAUGUCGAUUUGGGGAUUGGGCUUUGAGCUUGGUGCCCGUAGCUAACGUGAUAAAUCGACCGCCUGGGGAGUACGGCCGCAAGGUUAAAACUCAAAUGAAUUGACGGGGGCCCGCACAAGCGGU
RNAcentral lists this ribosomal RNA (909 nucleotides) under uncultured bacterium. Its description in RNAcentral is "bacterial SSU rRNA". It matches the Rfam family "Bacterial small subunit ribosomal RNA", at positions 33 to 933 of the family's 1533-position model. The record is from RNAcentral.